Long non-coding RNA from Cavia porcellus (domestic guinea pig), 1614 nucleotides. RefSeq lists it as uncharacterized. The record is from RefSeq and is a predicted model, not a curated record. The transcript is spliced from 3 exons. Lineage: Eukaryota; Metazoa; Chordata; Mammalia; Rodentia; Caviidae.
GACGGGCACUGCAGGGUCUUGUAUUGGAAACAAGCAUGUUAACUGCUGUAGCCGCCUUAAUGGGCAGGCUUGCCUGUGGUCUCAGUCCCUUCAUCCACCAGCCCUCAGGAGUCACAGCAACUGUGGCUCUGAGCUUUUCUGUAGCUGCGGGACUUUGGUCAGCCAUGGGGUGACCAGCUUUCCUCCACCAUGCUUCUCUGCCAUGAUGUUUAUACCUCUGGAGCAAGAUAAUUAUGGAUUGAAUCAUCUGAAAACGUUGAGCCAAAAUAAACCUCUCCUCUGUUAACUUGUGGAUACCACACAUUUUGUCCCAGACGCUGGAAAUAACACAAGGUGACACUCAAGAGGGAAUGAGAUCUUACAAUCACUACUCCUUAUCUCACAGUGGUCUUCAAGACUUCGAACAUCAGAGAAUGAAGAGUUUUGAUCUUCGAGAAGAAGGAAGCAAAUUGUGGGCAAUAGGACAAUGAAAACAGUUUUCACUAUGGAUGUAAUACAAUGAGAACACUUCUCAUACUUUGAACUACAGCACUGUGCCUAAUGACCAGCAUUUCAAGAUGUUAAAACACAAGCUUUCCCAAGCUUCUCUCUCUCUCUCUCUCUCUCUCUCUCUCUCUCUCUCUCUCUCUCUCUCUCUCUGUGCUCAGGUGCCCUUCACAACCAAGGAUGCAUUUGCUAACAGCCAACAGCAGAACCACUCCAAACCCUACUAUAAAAACCUCUAGUAGCCCUCUAAGCUCUAGUGUGGUCCCCUUUUCUGACUCUCUCACUGUUUCACAUGCCAUGCACUUCAAUAAAUUUUUUUCUACAUUUAUAAAAAAUAUAGCUAUUACAUAGCAUCUCAAGUAAGACUCAUUUAAAGUUCAAAACCCUCUCUUCAAUGAUCACUCACUUUCUCUGAGGUAAGUAUGGACUUGAGCCUGUGAGAUUAUUUUCUAAAUCUGCUCUGGAACAUACACCUGGUUUAUCACUAAUUUUUGUCAUGAAGUAACUAAUCCCCUUAAAACAAUAAUGUGCUUUCAUUAUUACUGUUUUUGAAAGGCAAGGGGAGAGCAGGAAGUCUGCUCAAAUUCAUGCACAUUAUUUCAUGUUUCCUUCCAUGCCCUUGAUCAGCAAGUGUUCCCACACAUUCACGGCUGCUGUUUUGGGAAGAACCCUAGAAACCCUUUCUUGCCAAUACCAACAUGUACAUUGUUCAUGCACAGAUUGGGCCCAAACACAGAAUUACACAUUAGCUGAAGACACUGAGUGGACAGAAUUCCUCUUUAAUGAGAGUUUAUGUCUUCCCUUUUUGUUCUGUACUAAUAGCAUCGUGAAAAAGAUUCUCACCAUUUUCAUCAGUGCUCUGCUUUCUCUUUUAAAUAGGGUCAGUUUGCAUGCAAAUAUCACUCUGCUGACCACUGUCUGAUGAAUCCCUUAGAAUUUUUCAUUGUUUUGAUGAAUGUCUGAUGAAUCCCUUAGAAUUGUCUGAUGAAUGUCUGAUGAAUCCCUUAGAAUUUUUCAUUGUUUUGAGGCUAGUCUAUGAGCAGUUUCUGUGGUUCUUCUGAAGUCAAACUUUAAAUCCCUUUGGGGCAGUUAAGCUUUGCAAAUUAAAAAUUGUGUCUACACUUGUAA